AUCUGGGGAAGCUCUACUCGACCCUCUUCGCAUCGUUCCUCCUCUCCUCACCGUUGCACGAAGUUCUGAGUUGAGCUCGUGGCAUCGCCGUCGCAAAGGGUUCCUCCCCUCCUCACCUUCAUGAAUUGCUUCCCGUGGCACUGCCCUUGCUGAUUCAUAGUUUGCUGAGAGUUAUGGUGAAAGUGCUACAGGAGCCGUAGUUCACAGGACUCUGCGGUUAGUCCUUCAACAUCAGGACAAUAUAGUACAACUCUUUCAAGAUUGAAGCAAAAACUGAGUGAUUUUUGGUUGCAUGUGGUUCAGCGAUGGCCUGUGGUAUAUUUAUUCUCAAUAAUUUUUGUAAAACUAUUACAGUUAUAUACUGUUCUACUAUUUGUUCUCCCUUCAAAAUUGUUUUGAUAAUCAGGUUGUUAAUCUCAAGCUCCUUACUUGUUUUAAUAA
This is a non-coding RNA of Arachis ipaensis, 441 nucleotides long. The record is from RefSeq and is a predicted model, not a curated record. Lineage: Eukaryota; Viridiplantae; Streptophyta; Magnoliopsida; Fabales; Fabaceae.